GCUGAACAUCGACAUCUUGAACGCAUAUUGCKGCCACGGGUUAGCCCGUGGCCACGCCUGUCCGAGGGUCGGCUUAUAAAUUAUCACGACGCCCAACAAGUCGUGGCUUGGGUUUUGCCAGCUGGCUUGAUCCCCUAUGCUUGGUUUUAUUACCGGGUUUGGGUGCCAGAUCUGUGGCGUUUCCCCAAUGUAUCCGGGCACAUCUGCAUCUUUUUGGUAUACUGGAUGAAGACGUGGCGACGGAGUCGUGGCUCAGUGAUUUAAACACGCUCCGAGUCGUAAUCGUCUCUUCUCAUGUUUGUGAUGGUGCGAUGUUGUCUGUCAACAAUACAGCUCAUUGGGCGUAUUUUUUCCUGACCUCGGAUCAGACGUGAUUACCCGCUGAACUUAGCAUAUCACUAAGCGGAGGAAAAGAAACUAACAAGGAUUCCCUUAGUAACGGCGAGUGAACAGGGAUGAGCCCAGCACCGAAGCCUGUGGCCAUUUGGUUACUAGGCAAUGUGGUGUUUAGGUCGUUUCCGCAGAGACACUGCUCCUCUCUAAGUCCAUCAAUGAGUACGGUAGUACUGACAUGGCCCAUGGAGGGUGAAAGGCCCGUAAGAGAGGAGUUUUGGUGUGACAGUGUCUCUCUGGUUUGACCUUGGAGUCGGGUUGUUUGGGAAUGCAGCCCUAAGUGGGUGGGUAAACUCCAUUCCAAGGCUAAAUACAAGCACGAGUCGGAUAGCGAACAAGUACCGUGAGGGAAAGUUGAAAAGUACUUUGAAGAGAGAGUAAACAGUGCGUGAAACCGCUUAGAGGUAAACGGGUGGAGUUGAACUGUAAUCUCUGAGAAUUCAGCUGGCGAAUUUUGCUUGAGCUUGGUCAAAAUGGGCAGGGCCCCGGGGUAUGCUUAGGUGCAUGUUCUGGCCUUCGGGUUGGGAUGCGCGUUGCUCUUAUCAAGGGCUGCGCGCCUCGGGUGUCCGGCUGGCUCUGUCACCAGUGCACUUUCUCGGAGUGAUCACCACGACCGGCGUGCUGCUUGGCUGUUCUAGUUAAACCGAACGUUCAUCGUCCUUGUGGCGUUGGGCGGUCGACACGGCAGGAAACUGGGGGCUUGCUUCGGCUUGCCUUCCGGUGUUUGUCGGCUUUAACGGUUCUAUGCGGUGUGUCGGAGACGGCGGCUAGUAGUGUGUGCGUGCGUAUCUAUCUGUUGGCAUACUCUGGUUUGGUGGCUAUGUGCUUGUUCAAGCAGGCCUAGUUAUGGCCGGGGUAUGUCAGUGGGUGGUUGCGUGUGUGGCACUUUUCUGGGCCAACAGUCUGUGGUGUUGUGGUAGACUAUCCACCUGACCCGUCUUGAAACACGGACCAAGGAGAGUAACAUGUGCGCGAGUCAUUGGGCGUAACGAAACCCACAGGCGCAGUGAAAGUAAAAGUCUGGCUUGUCCAGUCUAAGGUGAGAUCCUGUCGUUGUCAUGCGUGGUAUCACCAAGCUUGGAGCGGUAGGCGCAUCACCGGCCCGUCCCAUGACGUGGUCACAGUCCUCGGAUUGUGCGCCGUGGGGGCGGAGCAUGAGCGUACAUGUUGAGACCCGAAAGAUGGUGAACUAUGCUUGCGCAGGUUGAAGCCAGAGGAAACUCUGGUGGAGGACCGCAGCGAUUCUGACGUGCAAAUCGAUCGUCAAACGUGAGUAUAGGGGCGAAAGACUAAUCGAACCAUCUAGUAGCUGGUUCCCUCCGAAGUUUCCCCAGGGAUAGCUGAACAUCGACAUCUUG
This 1751-nucleotide ribosomal RNA is filed under the name Pseudoparacreptotrema macroacetabulatum. Its description in RNAcentral is "eukaryotic LSU rRNA". Lineage: Eukaryota; Metazoa; Platyhelminthes; Trematoda; Plagiorchiida; Allocreadiidae. The record is from RNAcentral.